GAGGGAAAGGUGAAAAGGACCCCUGCUAGGGGAGUUUAAAGUUCCUGAAACCCCGUGCCUACAAAGUGUGGGAGCAUCUUCGGAUGUGACCGCGUGCCUUUUGCAUAAUGAGUCUGCGAGUUAUUGUCAGUGGCAAGCCUAAGCACUAUUGGUGCGCAGGCGAAGCGAAAGCGAGUGUGAAUAGCGCGACCAGUCGCUGGCGAUAGACCCGAAGCGGAGGUGAUCUAACCAUGGGCAGGUUGAAGCUGAGGUAAAACUCAGUGAAGGACCGAACCGUUGUACGUUGAAAAGUGCUCGGAUGACCUGUGGUUAGGAGUGAAAGGCUAAUCAAACCCCGUGAUAGCUGGUUCUCUUCGAAAUAGCUUUAGGGCUAGCGUCGGGAAUAGUACUCCGAGGAGGUAGAGCACUGAUUGGCUUAGGGUCCCUAACAGGAUACCAAAACCAGUUAAACUCCGAAUGCCUCGGAUCCCAUUAUCCCGGCAGUCAGUCGGCGAGUGAUAAGAUCCGUCGUCGAAAGGGAAACAACC
Molecule: ribosomal RNA, 527 nt
Filed under: Candidatus Poribacteria bacterium
Lineage: Bacteria; Candidatus Poribacteria
Description: partial 23S ribosomal RNA
Rfam family: Bacterial large subunit ribosomal RNA
Source: RNAcentral